GGUUGCCAUCAUAACAGCACUAAUGCACCGGAUCCCAUCAGAACUCCGCAGUUAAGCAUGCUUGGGCGAGAGUAGUACUAGGAUGGGUGACCCCCUGGGAAGUCCUCGUAUUGCAACCC
This 119-nucleotide ribosomal RNA is filed under the name Helianthus annuus (common sunflower). The record is from RNAcentral. Lineage: Eukaryota; Viridiplantae; Streptophyta; Magnoliopsida; Asterales; Asteraceae.